Molecule: ribosomal RNA, 425 nt
Filed under: uncultured bacterium
Lineage: Bacteria
Description: bacterial SSU rRNA
Rfam family: Bacterial small subunit ribosomal RNA
Source: RNAcentral
GAAUAUUGGACAAUGGGCGCAAGCCUGAUCCAGCCAUGCCGCGUGUGUGAAGAAGGCCUUCGGGUUGUAAAGCACUUUUGUCCGGAAAGAAAAGCCUCGGGUUAAUACCCCGGGGUCCUGCCGGUCUCGGAAGAAUACGCACCGGCUAACUUCGUGCCAGCAGCCGCGGUAAUACGAAGGGUGCAAGCGUUACUCGGAAUUACUGGGCGUAAAGCGUGCGUAGGUGGUUUGUUAAGUCUGAUGGGAAAGCCCUGGGCUCAACCUGGGAAUUGCAUUGGAUACUGGCAAGCUAGAGUGCGGUAGAGGAUGGCGGAAUUCCCGGUGUAGCAGUGAAAUGCGUAGAGAUCGGGAGGAACAUCUGUGGCGAAGGCGGCCAUCUGGACCAGCACUGACACUGAGGCACGAAAGCGUGGGGAGCAAACAGG